RNAcentral lists this ribosomal RNA (253 nucleotides) under uncultured bacterium. RNAcentral's name for it is "partial 16S ribosomal RNA". It matches the Rfam family "Bacterial small subunit ribosomal RNA", at positions 524 to 776 of the family's 1533-position model. The record is from RNAcentral.
UACGAAGGGGGCUAGCGUUGUUCGGCAUCACUGGGCGUAAAGCGCACGUCGGCGGAUUUGUAAGUCAGGGGUGAAAUCCCGGGGCUCAACCUCGGAACUGCCUUUGAUACUGCAAGUCUCGAGUUCGGGAGAGGUGAGUGGAAUUCCUAGUGUAGAGGUGAAAUUCGUAGAUAUUAGGAAGAACACCAGUGGCGAGGGCGGCUCACUGGCCCGAUACUUACGCUGAGGUGCGAAAGCGUGGGGAGCAAACAGG